CCCGACCAAACGUCAGUUCUCACCUGC
This 27-nucleotide non-coding RNA is filed under the name Homo sapiens (human). Lineage: Eukaryota; Metazoa; Chordata; Mammalia; Primates; Hominidae. The record is from RNAcentral.